Molecule: ribosomal RNA, 253 nt
Filed under: uncultured bacterium
Lineage: Bacteria
Description: partial 16S ribosomal RNA
Rfam family: Bacterial small subunit ribosomal RNA
Source: RNAcentral
UACGAAGGGGGCGAGCGUUGUUCGGAAUUACUGGGCGUAAAGGGCGCGCAGGCGGCUCAGCCAGUCAGAUGUGAAAGCCCCGGGCUUAACCUGGGAACUGCAUUUGAUACUACUGAGCUUGAGUACGGGAGAGGAUAGUGGAAUUCCCAGUGUAGAGGUGAAAUUCGUAGAUAUUGGGAAGAACACCGGUGGCGAAGGCGGCUAUCUGGACCGUAACUGACGCUGAGGCGCGAAAGCGUGGGGAGCAAACAGG